RNAcentral lists this ribosomal RNA (495 nucleotides) under uncultured bacterium. Its description in RNAcentral is "partial 16S ribosomal RNA". It matches the Rfam family "Bacterial small subunit ribosomal RNA", at positions 28 to 507 of the family's 1533-position model. The record is from RNAcentral.
GACGAACGCUGGCGGCGUGCCUAAUACAUGCAAGUAGAACGCUGAAGGAGGAGCUUGCUUCUCUGGAUGAGUUGCGAACGGGUGAGUAACGCGUAGGUAACCUGCCUGGUAGCGGGGGAUAACUAUUGGAAACGAUAGCUAAUACCGCAUAAUAGCAGUUAUUGCAUGAUAACUGUUUGAAAGGUGCAAUUGCACCACUACCAGAUGGACCUGCGUUGUAUUAGCUAGUUGGUGGGGUAACGGCUCACCAAGGCGACGAUACAUAGCCGACCUGAGAGGGUGAUCGGCCACACUGGGACUGAGACACGGCCCAGACUCCUACGGGAGGCAGCAGUAGGGAAUCUUCGGCAAUGGACGGAAGUCUGACCGAGCAACGCCGCGUGAGUGAAGAAGGUUUUCGGAUCGUAAAGCUCUGUUGUAAGAGAAGAACCAGUGUGAGAGUGGAAAGUUCACACUGUGACGGUAUCUGACCAGAAAGGGACGGCUAACUACGUG